UGGGGAAUUUUGGACAAUGGGCGAAAGCCUGAUCCAGCAAUGCCGCGUGUGUGAAGAAGGCCUUCGGGUUGUAAAGCACUUUUGUCCGGAAAGAAAUCCUUGGCUCUAAUACAGUCGGGGGAUGACGGUACCGGAAGAAUAAGCACCGGCUAACUACGUGCCAGCAGCCGCGGUAAUACGUAGGGUGCAAGCGUUAAUCGGAAUUACUGGGCGUAAAGCGUGCGCAGGCGGUCUGCUAAGACCGAUGUGAAAUCCCCGGGCUCAACCUGGGAACUGCAUUGGUGACUGGCAGGCUAGAGUAUGGCAGAGGGGGGUAGAAUUCCACGUGUAGCAGUGAAAUGCGUAGAGAUGUGGAGGAAUACCGAUGGCGAAGGCAGCCCCCUGGGGCCAAUACUGACGCUCAUGCACGAAAGCGUGGGGAGCAAAACAGGAUUAGAUACCCUGGUAGUCCACGCCCUAAACGAUGUCAACUAGUUGUUGGGGAUUCAUUUCCUUAGUAACGUAGCUAACGCGUGAAGUUGACCGCCUGGGGAGUACGGUCGCAAGAUUAAAACUUAAAGGAAUUGACGGGGU
This 573-nucleotide ribosomal RNA is filed under the name uncultured bacterium. RNAcentral's name for it is "partial 16S ribosomal RNA". It matches the Rfam family "Bacterial small subunit ribosomal RNA", at positions 355 to 919 of the family's 1533-position model. The record is from RNAcentral.